GAGACAGCAGUCGCCGCGGUAAUACGUAGGUCCCGAGCGUUAUCCGGAUUUAUUGGGCGUAAAGCGAGCGCAGGCGGUUAGAUAAGUCUGAAGUUAAAGGCUGUGGCUUAACCAUAGUACGCUUUGGAAACUGUUUAACUUGAGUGCAGAAGGGGAGAGUGGAAUUCCAUGUGUAGCGGUGAAAUGCGUAGAUAUAUGGAGGAACACCGGUGGCGAAAGCGGCUCUCUGGUCUGUAACUGACGCUGAGGCUCGAAAGCGUGGGGAGCAAACAGGAUUAGAUACCCCUGUAGUCCCUGUCUCUUAUACC
RNAcentral lists this ribosomal RNA (308 nucleotides) under uncultured bacterium. Its description in RNAcentral is "partial 16S ribosomal RNA". It matches the Rfam family "Bacterial small subunit ribosomal RNA", at positions 505 to 808 of the family's 1533-position model. The record is from RNAcentral.